UGAGGAAUAUUGCGCAAUGGGGGAAACCCUGACGCAGCCAUGCCGCGUGAGUGAAGAAGGCCUUAGGGUUGUAAAGCUCUUUCAAUAGUGAAGAUUAUGACGGUAGCUAUAGAAGAAGCCCCGGCUAAAUUCGUGCCAGCAGCCGCGGUAAUACGAAUGGGGCAAGCGUUGUUCGGAAUAACUGGGCUUAAAGCGUGCGCAGGCGGAUAUGAAAGUCAGAAGUGAAAUCCCGAGGCUCAACCUCGGAACUGCUUUUGAAACUCCAUAUCUAGAAUCCGGUAGAGGUUAGGAGAAUUCCUAGUGUAGAGGUGAAAUUCGCAGAUAUUAGGAGGAAUACCAGUGGCGUAGGC
This 350-nucleotide ribosomal RNA is filed under the name uncultured bacterium. RNAcentral describes it as "bacterial SSU rRNA". It matches the Rfam family "Bacterial small subunit ribosomal RNA", at positions 355 to 722 of the family's 1533-position model. The record is from RNAcentral.